GACGAACGCUGGCGGCGUGCCUAAUACAUGCAAGUAGAACGCUGAAGAGAGGAGCUUGCUCUUCUUGGAUGAGUUGCGAGCGGGUGAGUAACGCGUAGGUAACCUGCCUUGUAGCGGGGGAUAACUAUUGGAAACGAUAGCUAAUACCGCAUAACAAUGGAUGACACAUGUCAUUUAUUUGAAAGGGGCAAUUGCUCCACUACAAGAUGGACCUGCGUUGUAUUAGCUAGUAGGUGAGGUAAUGGCUCACCUAGGCGACGAUACAUAGCCGACCUGAGUGGGUGAUCGGCCACACUGGGACUGAGACACGGCCCAGACUCCUACGGGAGGCAGCAGUAGGGAAUCUUCGGCAAUGGGGCAACCCUGACCGAGCAACGCCGCGUGAGUGAAGAAGGUUUUCGGAUCGUAAAGCUCUGUUGUAAGUCAAGAACGGGUGUGAGAGUGGAAAGUUCACACUGUGACGGUAGCUUACCAGAAAGGGACGGCUAACUACGUG
RNAcentral lists this ribosomal RNA (496 nucleotides) under uncultured bacterium. RNAcentral describes it as "partial 16S ribosomal RNA". It matches the Rfam family "Bacterial small subunit ribosomal RNA", at positions 28 to 507 of the family's 1533-position model. The record is from RNAcentral.